UUUGACGUUAAAAUACGUUAAAAUUCCGACAAAAAAUUGUGAUUUAAACCAAAAACGAAACGAUGACAACCACAUCGAUAGCUCAAAAGAUAAAAGAGAGGAAUACCGCUCGUCAAUUAAGAUUCGGUUCUCCAAAAUUACGUGACCAUUUGCGACAAACAAAAACAAUACACAGGCAAGACAAGCACUUCAACGAUCUUUUGUUGUAUAUCCGAUUAAAAUUAGAAAUGCCGAAUCAGAAUAAAGGAAUCCCGUGUGAUGUCAUUCGAUAACAACAGAGCAUUCGAAAAUGAUUUCUUAUCCCGUAUUGUAAAAGACGAACUCCGAGAAAUGGACAUUGACAUUGAGCUGCAAACGCAAUUUUA
Bradysia coprophila is the source of this 365-nucleotide long non-coding RNA. The record is from RefSeq and is a predicted model, not a curated record. Lineage: Eukaryota; Metazoa; Arthropoda; Insecta; Diptera; Sciaridae.